This 253-nucleotide ribosomal RNA is filed under the name uncultured bacterium. RNAcentral's name for it is "partial 16S ribosomal RNA". It matches the Rfam family "Bacterial small subunit ribosomal RNA", at positions 524 to 776 of the family's 1533-position model. The record is from RNAcentral.
UACGGAGGAUGCAAGCGUUAUCCGGAAUGAUUGGGCGUAAAGGGUCCGCAGGUGGCAGUGUAAGUCUGCUGUCAAAGAAUGAGGCUUAACCUUAUCAAGGCAGUGGAAACUACACAGCUAGAGUACGGUCGGGGUAGAAGGAAUUCCUGGUGUAGCGGUGAAAUGCGCAGAUAUCGGGAGGAACACCGGUGGCGAAGGCGGUUCUCUGGGCCUUACCUGACGCUGAGGAGCGAAAGCAUGGGGAGCGAACAGG